Molecule: long non-coding RNA, 6517 nt
Filed under: Sus scrofa (pig)
Lineage: Eukaryota; Metazoa; Chordata; Mammalia; Artiodactyla; Suidae
Description: lncRNA (ENSSSCG00060027193.1)
Source: RNAcentral
AACUAUUAUGAGGAAAAGCUGAACUGAACUUUCAAGGAAUCCCAGGCACAGGCUGAAAUGCUGGGUGUGGAGGGCAUUUCUCAGAAGACGCUGAGGAUGGGGUGUCACUGGCGGGAAAGGGGGUAACAACGCACAGGGCCAUCAUGCUGGGGUCCUGCUAGGGCUCUCUCUGUUGACGGGGGCAGUCCCUGAUAGCUGUGUUGGCAGCUGGCCUUUCCUUCUGAGAACACUGUCACUUGCAGCCAAGCUCCGGGAAGGCCAUUACCUCUGCUCCGAGCUGCUUGUCGCUGCUUCAGUGACUCUAGUCCUUCUCCUGUGUUACAGGACUUGACAGAAAGAAGGCUGCCUUUGAAGCAUGGAGUACUGAGACUUGCGCUUCCCAGACUCUCCCAGAUCUGGAGGGGAUGAGAAAAGGGGGUGAUCUGACGAUCCCUGGCUUGAGCGGAUCCUGUAUCCCACAACCCAGGGGUCAACACCAUUCCUGCCUUGGCCACCCUUGAAGCCAGCGCAACCCCUGCUGGGGCCCUGAGGCCUCUGGGCUCCCCUUGGAGAGUAAUAGGGUGGGACCCCUCAUGACUUGUCCUCCAGAGGGCUGGAUGGCUGGACCUUUUAGUUGAGUAGGUGAAAAAUACAAGGUCAGGACUAGAGGAAAUUUGCUAAUAAGGUGACCACUUUUUCUGAACCCAAACUGAGAGUAGGGUGGAUUAUUACGACAUAAUAUGGAGUACAAAAAUUGUCACAGUGGUGGAAUAUCUGGGGGAUUCAUAUGAGUGAUUGACUCACAAAUCACUGACUUGCUUACAUCAGCUUAGGCAGCUUCACAAACUAGCUGGGUGACGCUGGAUGAGACACUGAGCCACUGGGGACCUCGGUUUUGAGGGUCUCCCAGCUCCAUGAAUUGAUGAGUUUUGGUGGAGGAGGAGGGGACUUAUGAGGGUCAGGCUGGAGUGGAGUCACAGUGCAGGUGACACAAAGGGGUGGGGUGGCACUCAGUCUGUGCCCAGAGGUGGGGUCGCUGGGGCGUCACUGCACAUCCCUCGCCAUUUCCUUGGGCCGGACUAAUAGGGCUGCGGCUUCUCCCCCCCUCGUGUGCAGGCUCACUGUUUUAUGAAUUAAGGACCCAGGCUGCCCCUGAGGGAGAAUUGAUGGAAGGGGCUCUGCAGCCCCAGACAGAGGCAUAGACCCAGGAGGAGGGGUCCAGAGAGCAGGCCCCCGGGGCUGCCAGCCUCGCCAGCCCUGUGCGGGAGACAGCAGGGCCGCAGAGAGCCCUUAAUGGCCAGGCAGAUUAGGAACACGGUUCCGGCCGAGGGCACAGAGCCCCGGAGAAUGAUAAUCAAACUCCUUGCCGCCAGUCAAGCAGCUAAGCAGACAAGAUCUAAAUAAACACGCUUCUGUCUCCAGUCGGGCGGGCCCCCCUCUCGGUGGUGGAAUCAGGUUGUCUGCUCCAGCAGCUUGACCUUGGACUCUGUACUUGACCCUGGUGAAGGGCCAGAUUUCCCAACAUCAGAUUCACAAACAUCUCUCAUCCUGUGUGCUCACUCCUCUGGGCUCGUUUUGUGUAUUUAUUUAUUUGUGUAUUUAUUUAUUUAUUUAUUUUUAUUUUUUGUCUUUUGGGGGCCGCACCCACGGCAAAUGGAAGUUCCCAGGCUAGGGGUAGAAUCGGAGCUGCAGCUGCCAGCCUAUGCCACAACCACAGCCACACAGGAUCUGAGCCACAUCUGCAACCUACACCACAACACACGGCAACACCGGAUCCUUAACCCGCUGAGCGGGGCCAGGUAUUGAACCUGCAUCCUCAUGGAUACUAGUUGGAUCCAUUUCCACUGCACCACUCUUGUCUGUAGGUUCUUGUCCCAAGGGAGCCGAUGGGUUCGGGAGCUGCUCCAGACUUGGGGCUGGAAAUACGUUCCCAAACUGGAGAUUUCACUGAAGGGCACACCGCCUUUGUACUAGACUGUCUGUAUCUGGGGGUAGAGCUGCGUAACAGGCCCUCUGAGCCUGCACGGGGACAGGUAAACAGGGAUGCUGAAGGAGUGGAAAUGCAUUGUAAACAGUUCUUUAGAAAUGAGUCCCACGGGUGCCAUAUGAAACUGGCUCUGUUUGCAUUUGAAGCCUGGCUGCUGGGAAUUCUAACCAGUACAACACUGUUGGAAGACAAUUUGUAAAUAUUUAGCAAGAGCCUCUAAAAGAUUCAGGUCCUUUGAACUAGUGAUGAUUUUUAUAGAAAUCAAUUCAAACUUUUAAAAGUGAUGCUAAUCACCAAGAUACAUAUUUCAGCAUUAUUUAGCUGAAUUGGAAUUGAUCUAAAUACCCAUUUGUAGGGGAAUGGUUAGGUAUGUUUGGCAUGUUAUGCAGCCACUUAAAAUUUAGUUUAUAAAGACCAAUAUUAUAACCAGUUCUUGUGCAACAACAUUAAGUGGAAAGGCAGGAUACAGUUGAAAGUUUUUACAAUGCGUAAAAUAAAAAACUAGAAAUAAAUCCACCCAAAUGCUAAUAACAGCCAUGCUGGAAAAUGGGAUAAGACGUCAUUUUUUUUUUUUCUGUUUAUAUACCUCUUUCUAAAAUUUGUCUAUGAGCAUUUAUUGCUUUCCAUGGGAAAAAUUAAAUGUAAAAAUUAGAACCUCAGAGAAUUGUUCGAAUAGCAUCAAGAUUUGAGAGCAGAGAGAUUUUAACAUUAUCAAUGGCCAACCCCAAGGUCUUUAGCCAGCCAGCCAGUUAACUCAGUGGUAAAGGGGGGUCUUUCUCUGAGCCUGUCCAUGGCUUUGCUGGGUGGCUGGACCAUCUCUUGACACGUGCAGUGAGGAGGCCUCGGAGAAAUGACCUGUGAGUCAUCGCACAACCCAGUAGCCAAUCAGAAUGUAUUAAGGGCUCCCUGUGAAGGAUGCAUCCUGUUUUGAACUAAGAAUGAUAUAGAAGGUCAAAGGGAAAAUGUUGCCCAAGAGAACCUGCAUUCUUACUUAAGAGAUAAAACACUCCUAAGACUUUUAUACACAUAAAACCGUUCAGGAACAUCAGUACGUCUUUGGACAGAUACUACUUAUAACUAGAUUUGUGUAUAUAUUUGUGUGUGGGUAUAUGUGUAUAUAAGUAUACACACACAUAUGCACAUUCACACAGACACAUUCUGCGAACACUCAAAUAUAUUGGUAGCUCAGACAAUAUACGGUAAUUGUGCAAUGGAAAAUAAGCACUUAUUGUGCUGUUAGUAGUAUUGUCUUUGAAUACAAAGAAUGGCUUUUCAUCGUAGAGCAUUUCAAUUGCAAUGACAAUGAUUGCAGACCAGGCCCACACUCGCCUCUCUUAUUAAUGAGUUGAUGCCGUAGUGCUCUCCAUUUGCAAAAUGCCACACAUAGCAAUUUAAAAAUCUUGAUCAUUUCACCAGAAUCGACGAGGACUGCUUCGUGCGAAAGGCUCCUGGCAGGCUUGGGGAACCCUGCCACAGGUGUCUGGUUCCUGGUGCUCACCUGGAUCCCGCCAGGUGGGUUGGAACAGCUCUCUUUGUUUUCCUGAGGAAGGCACAGAGCAUAGAGCCGGCUGCGUGACAGAUGGGAGUCAGCAGCAAUGCGAUUUUGCUUCUGUGCUGUACCCCUCAGCUGGUCAAAUAUUACCCAGGCAGACAAGGCAAACCACCACCGAGAGGCUCUGGUUCAAGCCAAGGCCAGCCUUGUUCUGACCCCUGAAAUCCGGCUGCGGUCUAUGCGCUCCUCCGGCUUCCUCUUCUUGAGGCUUCAGGGAAAGAAGGUACCUCCCACCUUUUUUGCUCAUCCAAGAGAGCAAAGGCAGGCACCUCCUUAGAAAACGCACCUAAGGCUCUAAUCCCUAUACCCUGCACAGAAAAGAGACCCCGGCUUCCCUCUCCCUUGUCUUUUCGAACCCUUUUUUUUUUUUUUCCUUUUUCUCCCUCAAAGCAAGCAAAGAGAUAGUAGUAUGAAUAAUUGAUUGUGAGAUGCUGCAGUGACUAACAGCUCUGGUUGGACUCUCUGGCUCAGGAAGCCUGGAAAGGUGCAAGGGGAGGAGAUCUGAAUGACAACCAGGCCUGGAGGUGCUGCGGGGUUGGGGGGGGCACAGAGCCCUGUGACCGCCUGGCUGGGGCUGGGUCCUUGGACAGAGGGCUGUGCAUUGGACAAGAGGGGCGAGUUUUGGGAAAGUUCUUCUGUGUUCUAAUCCAAUUUGGAUCACACCAGGCGUGGUCUGCAUGUUUACCCCAGUGUGUGAGUGUGUGCAAAGCAGAAUAAGGGCUCCUAAAGAAAACAAAACAAACCAAAAAAACCCCACUGAUUCAUAGUAUACAAUUUAGGAAAAUACUGGUACCUGCAGCCCUUCCCUCCCCUCCUUCCUAAAGACAUGGUGAGACUGGAGAUGUGAGUUUGAAUCCUGUUUCUACCUCAUACCAGCUGAGAGACUUUGCAGGAGUCUCUGAGCCUCACUUUCCUCAUCUAAAACAGGGAUAAAAACCAACCAACCAGCCACCCUCCACACCAGUUUCAUGUACUGAUGUAUGUACUAUAUGUGAUUAUGCUUGGAAGGUAGGAGACUCUAUCAUCUCGUAUUGGAAUAUAAAUAUAGCUGGUGGUAGAUAAAAUUACCUUGCAGCUAAGCAAAACUGAUUCAGAUCUGUUGUGGAAAUACGAGUAUCCGGCCCAAGAGCUUUCCUCACUGUCCUCAGUAACCUGAUCUGAACCUUAGUCUGAACCUUCAUGACAGGUAGUUCUUCCAGGUGGCCCGCCUAGUUCACUCCAGUUGGAAUGAAUGCCCCUGAGGCCGUGGCUCCUGGACCAGCAGCAUCGCAUCACCUGGGAACUUGUUAGACAUGCACAUUCCAGACCCAGGCUUACAGAGAGAGGGAGUCUGGGGUUGGGGAAUCUAGCCAUCGGGCUUGUAGCAAGUUCUCCAGGUGAUGUUGUGGCUCGCUAAGGUUUGAAAGACAUUGCCUUAAGGGACUGUCUCUCUUGACUUUGCCAAGAACCAUCAGGGCUCCGUCCCCCAUGGCCCUUUUCCCGAUGCUGUAAAUCUGUCCUAGCUCCUUUGCAGGCUCUCCACAAAGGAUGGCUAUUUCCUGGAUUCUUGGAAUGUUGGCAGGUUUCUUAAAACUAGGAUUAGGCAAUUCUUCAAGGCUGGCCACCCUCCAUGCUUAGGCAACACACUAAGGGAUACAGGGCCAUAUCACCUCAUCUGCCACCUCCACGUCUCCCUGUGUCUCUGGGCAGGUUCUCAGGUCCAUCCAUCUGCUUCCAGUGCCACGUUCCUGCCAGGGACUAGGUCGGUUGAGUCAAGAGGGCUGCAGUAUUGCAGAGGAGGAAAAACAAGCUCUCAGGGGAGAAAAGCUGGCCAACGCUGCCUCCUGGUUAUUACCACGGGGCCCGCUGCUGCCCUUUGCACGUGACUGCAUCGCUGCAAAUUCCACAGGCUGCUCUCUGCGGGGAGUUGGGCAAUAGAUAACAACUGUCCGGAGAGUUAUUUCUUUGGUAUUUUGGUUCAUUAAAAAAGUUGUCUGUGGUUCCCAAAAGCUCCAAGGGGAGGGGCUGCUUCUACUUCUGGAAUCCCAGAUGGGAUUUCAACAGCUCUCAACCAGUUCUUAAGCCAUAAGUUAAGUCAACACUUUUAAAUUAUGUGGUGAGCCUACCUUGGGGGAGGUGUGGGUGUGCGUAGAGGAGAUGGUAGUGAUUGGCUCCAAGAUCAUGUGUACAGAUAGCAAAGGUCGGGCGUGAAUUAAUUGAAAAACUGGUCUCCACCACAAAGCCUUGAACUCUAAAGAUGGUGUGUAGACUAAGAAGAGCAAUCCAUCAGAAGCUAUCUUCCCCCCUGCCCCACUGUACAGCAUGGGGAUCAAGUUAUUCUUACAUGUAUACAUUUUUUUCCCCCACCCUUUGUUCUCUUGCAACAUGAGUAUCUAGACAUAGUUCUCAAUGCUACUCAGCAGGAUCUCCUUGUAAAUCUAUUCUAAGUUGUGUCUGAUAACCCCAAGCUCCCGAUCCCUCCCACUCCCUCUCUCUCCUGUUGGGCAGCCACAAGUCUAUUCUCCAAGUCCCUAUCUUUCAUUGCUUGGAAAAUUGGCAGAGUUAAUAUGAAGUGCUGUCCCCUCGACUUCAGGAAGCCGGGGUUCUGAUAUUGACUCUGUCAUUGAUGGUUUGUGACCUUGAGCAAGAUGGUUUCUUCAUUCAUUCUUUUAUUCUUUCCUUCCACAUUUGAUUAACACCGAUUAUGCUCUUGGCACCAGGCUGGUCAAAGAAUCAAGCACCCACUUGUUUAAAAACAGCCCAGGAGUUCCCAUUGUGGUUCAGCAGGUUAAGAACCCGACGUAGUGUCUCUGAGGAUGCAGGUUCUAUCCCUGACCUCACCCAGUAGGUUAAGGACCCGAUGUUGCCGUAAGGUGCGGUGUCGGUUGCAGACGUGGUUUGGAUCUGGUGUUGCUGUGGCUGUAGGCUGGCAGCUGCAGCUUAAAUUCAACCCCUAGCCCAGGAACUUCCAUAUGCCAUGGAUGUGACCCUAAAAAAAAAAAAAAAAAAAAAAAAAAAAA